UGGCUGUACAGGUGCAUGUGCUGAGUCGCCAACAGACAUGUUGUGAAGUUAGCUGGCCCAUUACAGUUAUUACAGUCGUGGAUCUUCUGGAGGUUUCCCACACUCAGACCAUCUGGGUAUGAUGAGAUCAGCUGGCCCCUUGCCUCGAGAUGGUCUGGUUACAACCCUGGGAUUAGCAACAAGGGACCUCGGGUACAGAUGGCUCGCAUGAAGAUCGACUUGUUACAGCCUCGGCAGUUCAUAUGGAUGCCCUAUAGCGCAGUCGACGUCAUCCAGGUUGUCCAUCCUGAGGUGUUGGAGCC
Long non-coding RNA from Arachis stenosperma, 302 nucleotides. RefSeq lists it as uncharacterized. Lineage: Eukaryota; Viridiplantae; Streptophyta; Magnoliopsida; Fabales; Fabaceae. The record is from RefSeq and is a predicted model, not a curated record. The transcript has 3 exons.